Molecule: ribosomal RNA, 680 nt
Filed under: uncultured bacterium
Lineage: Bacteria
Description: bacterial SSU rRNA
Rfam family: Bacterial small subunit ribosomal RNA
Source: RNAcentral
GGGGAUAGCCCGGAGAAAUCCGGAUUAAUACCCCAUAAUGCAUUGGUUCCGCAUGGAACUACUUGCUAGAGAUUUAUUGGUUGUGGAUGGGCAUGCGUCUGAUUAGUUAGUUGGUGAGGUAACGGCUCACCAAGGCAACGAUGUCUAGGGGGUCUGAGAGGAUGGUCCCCCACACUGGUACUGAGACACGGACCAGACUCCUACGGGAGGCAGCAGUGAGGAAUAUUGGGCAAUGGACGCAAGUCUGACCCAGCCAUGCCGCGUGCAGGAUGACAGCCCUACGGGUUGUAAACUGCUUUUAUACAGGAAGAAACUCACGCUCGUGAGCGUGGCUGACGGUACUGUAAGAAUAAGCAUCGGCUAACUCCGUGCCGGCAGCCGCGGUAAUACGGAGGAUGCAAGCGUUAUCCGGAUUUAUUGGGUUUAAAGGGUGCGUAGGCGGAAAAUUAAGUCAGUGGUGAAAUCCUUCAGCUUAACUGAAGAACUGCCAUUGAUACUGGUUUUCUUGAGUACAGUUGAGGUGGGCGGAAUGUAUAAUGUAGCGGUGAAAUGCUUAGAUAUUAUACAGAACACCGAUUGCGUAGGCAGCUCACUAAACUGUUACUGACGCUAAGGCACGAAAGCGUGGGGAGCGAACAGGAUUAGAUACCCUGGUAGUCCACGCUGUAAACGAUGAUCAC